GAGUUUGAUCAUGGCUCAGGAUGAACGCUGGCGGCGUGCCUAAUACAUGCAAGUCGAACGAGUUCUCGUUGAUGAUCGGUGCUUGCACCGAGAUUCAACAUGGAACGAGUGGCGGACGGGUGAGUAACACGUGGGUAACCUGCCCUUAAGUGGGGGAUAACAUUUGGAAACAGAUGCUAAUACCGCAUAGAUCCAAGAACCGCAUGGUUCUUGGCUGAAAGAUGGCGUAAGCUAUCGCUUUUGGAUGGACCCGCGGCGUAUUAGCUAGUUGGUGAGGUAAUGGCUCACCAAGGCGAUGAUACGUAGCCGAACUGAGAGGUUGAUCGGCCACAUUGGGACUGAGACACGGCCCAAACUCCUACGGGAGGCAGCAGUAGGGAAUCUUCCACAAUGGACGCAAGUCUGAUGGAGCAACGCCGCGUGAGUGAAGAAGGCUUUCGGGUCGUAAAACUCUGUUGUUGGAGAAGAAUGGUCGGCAGAGUAACUGUUGUCGGCGUGACGGUAUCCAACCAGAAAGCCACGGCUAACUACGUGCCAGCAGCCGCGGUAAUACGUAGGUGGCAAGCGUUAUCCGGAUUUAUUGGGCGUAAAGCGUGCGCAGGCGGUUUUUUAAGUCUGAUGUGAAAGCCCUCGGCUUAACCGAGGAAGCGCAUCGGAAACUGGGAAACUUGAGUGCAGAAGAGGACAGUGGAACUCCAUGUGUAGCGGUGAAAUGCGUAGAUAUAUGGAAGAACACCAGUGGCGAAGGCGGCUGUCUGGUCUGUAACUGACGCUGAGGCUCGAAAAGCAUGGGUAGCGAACAGGAUUAGAUACCCUGGUAGUCCAUGCCGUAAACGAUGAAUGCUAGGUGUUGGAGGGUUUCCGCCCUUCAGUGCCGCAGCUAACGCAUUAAGCAUUCCGCCUGGGGAGUACGACCGCAAGGUUGAAACUCAAAGGAAUUGACGGGGGCCCGCACAAGCGGUGGAGCAUGUGGUUUAAUUCGAAGCAACGCGAAGAACCUUACCAGGUCUUGACAUCUUUUGAUCACCUGAGAGAUCAGGUUUCCCCUUCGGGGGCAAAAUGACAGGUGGUGCAUGGUUGUCGUCAGCUCGUGUCGUGAGAUGUUGGGUUAAGUCCCGCAACGAGCGCAACCCUUAUGACUAGUUGCCAGCAUUUAGUUGGGCACUCUAGUAAGACUGCCGGUGACAAACCGGAGGAAGGUGGGGAUGACGUCAAAUCAUCAUGCCCCUUAUGACCUGGGCUACACACGUGCUACAAUGGAUGGUACAACGAGUUGCGAGACCGCGAGGUCAAGCUAAUCUCUUAAAGCCAUUCUCAGUUCGGACUGUAGGCUGCAACUCGCCUACACGAAGUCGGAAUCGCUAGUAAUCGCGGAUCAGCACGCCGCGGUGAAUACGUUCCCGGGCCUUGUACACACCGCCCGUCACACCAUGAGAGUUUGUAACACCCGAAGCCGGUGGCGUAACCCUUUUAGGGAGCGAGCCGUCUAAGGUGGGACAAAUGAUUAGGGUGAAGUCGUAACAAGGUAACC
This 1531-nucleotide ribosomal RNA is filed under the name Lacticaseibacillus paracasei. Its description in RNAcentral is "bacterial SSU rRNA". It matches the Rfam family "Bacterial small subunit ribosomal RNA". Lineage: Bacteria; Bacillati; Bacillota; Bacilli; Lactobacillales; Lactobacillaceae. The record is from RNAcentral.